Molecule: ribosomal RNA, 522 nt
Filed under: uncultured Candidatus Poseidoniales archaeon
Lineage: Archaea; Methanobacteriati; Thermoplasmatota; Candidatus Poseidoniia; Candidatus Poseidoniales
Description: bacterial SSU rRNA
Rfam family: Archaeal small subunit ribosomal RNA
Source: RNAcentral
CCCAGUUUUUUCUUGACUCUUCAAAGGUCUUGGAAUAAGGGGUGGGUAAGGACGGUGCCAGCCGCCGCGGUAAUACCGGCGCCUCAAGUGGUAGUCGCUUUUAUUGGGCCUAAAACGUCCGUAGCCGGUCUGGUGCAUUCGUGGGUAAAUCAACCCGCUCAACGGGUUGAAUUCUGCGAGCACGGCCAGACUUGGGACCGGGAGAGGUGUGGGGUACUCUCAGGGUAGGGGUAAAAUCCUGUCAUCCUGAGAGGACCACCUGUUGCGAAGGCGCCACACUAGAACGGAUUCGACGGUCAGGGACGAAACCUAGGGGCACGAACCGGAUUAGAUACCCGGGUAGUCCUAGGUGUAAACGCUGUGGACUUGAUGUUGGGGGUGCUCCGAGCACUCUCAGUGUCGAAGCGAAGGUGAUAAGUCCACUGCCUGGGGAGUACGGUCGCAAGGCUGAAACUUAAAGGAAUUGGCGGGGGAGCACUGCAACCUGAGGAUUGUGCGGUUUAAUUGGACUCAACGCCGGAA